This 493-nucleotide ribosomal RNA is filed under the name uncultured bacterium. Its description in RNAcentral is "bacterial SSU rRNA". It matches the Rfam family "Bacterial small subunit ribosomal RNA", at positions 56 to 531 of the family's 1533-position model. The record is from RNAcentral.
UGCAGUCAAGGAGAAAUCCGACUUCGGUUGGAUAAGUAAACUGGCGCACGGGUGANUAACGCGUAGGUAAUCUGCCUUUUGGUUUGGGAUAACUCCGAGAAAUCGGAGCUAAUACCGAAUGAUGCAGCGGAUCCUCAUGGAUAUGUUGUUAAAGGUGUCUUCGGAUAUCGCCAAUAGAUGAACCUGCGUUCCAUUAGCUAGUUGGUGAGGUAACGGCUCACCAAGGCAACGAUGGGUAGCCGGCCUGAGAGGGUGGUCGGUCACACUGGAACUGAGACACGGUCCAGACUUCUACGGAAGGCAGCAGUGAGGAAUAUUGGGCAAUGGGCGAAAGCCUGACCCAGCAACGCCGCGUGAGGGAAGAAGCUCUACGGAGUGUAAACCUCUGUUAGGAGGGACGAAUGUUGUAAUGGUAAAUAAUCAUUACAAAGGGACGGUACCUCCAAAGAAAGCCCCGGCUAACUCCGUGCCAGCAGCCGCGGUAAUACGGGGG